This 1172-nucleotide long non-coding RNA is filed under the name Homo sapiens (human). RNAcentral describes it as "HSALNT0356290". The record is from RNAcentral. Lineage: Eukaryota; Metazoa; Chordata; Mammalia; Primates; Hominidae.
AGUUGGCGCCACCCUGCUACUCAGCAGUGAGGAGGGAGCAAGUCUUAGGGCUUCUAGCUUGGUUUAUGGCUGAAUGGGGUAGUCAUCGCCUGCUGUGCCACCAGAGCUGGAAGCCCGAUUUUGUCAUGCAGAUAAGCCACAUUCUUCUACAGCUUUAUUGGUAACAAAGAUAACAUAUUGAUGUCCAUUUGCCAAACACCCUUGUCCUUCAAAGAUGGUUCAAAAUGACAUGGAUAUUUAGAUGGGAUGUCCACCAUAAUUAUUUUUUUGCUGAGCUUCAAGAAUAUUCUUUUGUUUGUCAGUGAUACAUAAUUAGAGAAUAUGAGGAAUCACGGUUUCAUAUGUUAUGUCUCGACUGCCAUGAAUGAGACAGUGUGAAGAACAGAAACCAAUGCAAUGAACAGCCCUGGAAGCCGCCAGCGAUGGCUUGUCUGACAACAGAAAGAGGCAGGUUUCUCUCCUGAGCCUUGCACAGACGAUGCUGGCCCAAAUCCUUCCUGAUAAACAUCAAAUGGAGACAACCAGCUACAAGCAAUUCCUCCAACAACAGAAUAAAUAUUGGCACACCAAGAAAUAAUCUACUGAUGGGAAUAGAGGCCCUGAAAAUCAUCCCACAGUGAGUCAAUCCCAAGUUCAGCAGCAAAUCCUCAUUUUGACAGAAUCAGGAAGAUGUUGAAGAGGAACUCAAUCAGCUACUGAUGACUCCACUGAUUAUGGGCUUUCUCAAGCUGCCUUUAUGAAGAACAGGAAGACAAGAUGGUCGGCUCUUAUCCCUGAAGAGGAACUUGAUCCUGAUGGAAACAUCCUAAUGGAAAAUGUGGGUUGGGAUGGGAGCCCGUGAUGAAGUGGCAGCUUGGCCUCACCACAAGUCAUUCCAGUGACAUGCGUCACAGUGCCUUCCAGCUCCAAAUUUUCAGAAAUAGUUUUGCAUAUGGAAAAAUAUGAGGUGACAUAAAAUGGUAACAAAGGUUCUACAUUUCUAUUGACUCUUCAACCACAUGUCAAUUAGGGCCAAUAUUUAGAACAUACUGGAUCUUCUGAAAGCGUGAGAAAGGAAGGUGCAUUUCCUUGCUCUCCUUGCAAAAUAUACAUAGCUACGCAUUUGAUUUUUAUUGGGAAUGUAAUCAACAGAAUAUUUUAAUAAAAAAUGUGAAAGCAGGCAGAAAAUUUUC